AAGUCGUAACAAGGUUUCCGUAGGUGAACCUGCGGAAGGAUCAUUAGUGAAAUAAGAAGACCCCUUGCUGGGCUUCAUACCUUCACAUCCAAACACUGUGCAACGUCUGAGGUGAACGUACCCUGCCUGGGUAUCUACUAGCCACAGUUCUUUUUUUUUACCCAUUCUCAAACACAAGUCAAUGUAUGUGAACAUAUUACAAACAAGUAGAACUUUCAACAACGGAUCUCUUGGCUCCC
RNAcentral lists this unclassified non-coding RNA (239 nucleotides) under fungal sp. Its description in RNAcentral is "partial internal transcribed spacer region". The stretch from base 1 to 46 matches the Rfam family "Eukaryotic small subunit ribosomal RNA", at positions 1786 to 1831 of the family's 1831-position model. The record is from RNAcentral. Lineage: Eukaryota; Fungi.